GGGCGCGGACUGACGGCUGCCGCCUGUCGGCGCCCCGGCCCUGCAGCCGAGCCGGAGGGGCGGACCGGCGGGUGUCGGGAGCAGGCAGCAGCGGCCAGGCCUCUGCGGCUUCUCUCCCGCUGGAGAGGGAAGAGCCGCGGCCGCGAGGAUUCCCAGCAGCGGCCGCGUGUCGAGAGCCUGCAAGUGGCCCCGAAGCCGUCCCUUUCCCGAUAGCCAAGCAGAAGUAGGACUCGAAGCACCGGGGCUGGGAUGCCCAUGCUGGUGACGCCUUGGGACUCGCAGUUAUACUUGGCGACCGGUCUACACGGCGAUUCGGUAUUUUCCGGAAUAGCAGAUUCACCUAUCUUUAGACCCACCUUGGUCCUUUGGGGUGUAGCCCGGCCUGCGCUUUCCUGCGAGCCCUGCUGUCACCUAAACAGCCUGGUGACUUCACGCUCAGCCACUGGAGGGCACAGCCACAUCAUUUUUUAAAAAUUCGUUUCCCCACUUAAAGCUGACAUGGUUUGGGGGGAAAUAACAUUUUAAAAAUGUAAAAAGAUAUAUAUACGUAUCUCUGAUUAUUCUGAUAUAAACUCAGGUGGGAUACUUCUAAACAGGAGGCUGCUGCAGUCCCUUCAUUUUACAGCUGAGAAAACGAAGGCCUUGGAGCUUGAGAACUCCAGUUGCCUGAGGCGCACAGGUGGUGGGUAAGGACGCUGAUCAUUUCCCCAAAGAAUCCUUCCCUGACCCAGGAGGAUCCGGUGGGAGAGCGGGGCCGUCCACAGCUCAACCAGGACACAAGAAGGCCCAGGGUGGCAGGAGCCCCACUGUGUGCUGUGGAGGAUGGCAGAGGAAAAGUCAGCAUUGUCCCUAAACUGCAGGAUCAUGUGAUGUGAUGGGAAAAAAUUUUGAAUUUUUUGAAGCGCAGGUCACGGAAGCACAUGGUGCCCAGAAGGGCUUAACUAGUUGCAGCUGUGCAGGGCGAUGCGCAGAGUGCCCCAAGGGUGUCCUGAGUGAGGGUGGACGUCCGCUGCCCUCUGGCUUCGUGAAGGCUCCGUGAAGCCUGCCGGGUCACCCUUGUUUUCAUGGAUAGCUUCUUCAGGACACUCCCUCCACCAGUAAUUGAUAAAGUGCUUCCGUUGAGUGUCUGAUAAAGGAUUCAGUUUACAUGAUUGUUAAGACAGGAUCAUGAAAGAAGACAGAAGACGGAUGUGAGUGGCUCUCAGAAAAAAAGUAUCAAGGCAAACUGAGGAGUCUGUGUUCCGAGUUAUAACAUCAGCCCUGUGUUGAAAGCAUAUUGACUUUCCUGACUUCUUAUGACCACAUUUGAGGAAAGGAGUAAGCACUGGAAUCACCAAAACAGCACGCUUACAGGAGGGCGGUCACCAGCUUCAUCAGCCUCCCAAUUCCACGGAGCCCCUUGAAAAUCCAGGGGCGCAGACUGGCAACAGUAGAGAUUGAAUAGAUACAGGGUCUCGCUCUGUUGCCCAGGCUGGAGUAUAGCAGGGCAAUUAUAGCUCACUGCAACCUCAAACUGUAAUUGUGCUAUCUCGGCUCACUGCAAUCUCUGCCUGUCAAUUUCUGCAAAAAAAAUCAGUAGAGAUUUUGAUAGUGAUUGCAUUGAAACUGUACACCAACUGGCAAAUCUAUAGAACCAGCAGAGAAAUUACAAAUUGCCUGUGGCUGGGACUGAAGAGUGAAAUCACUGCAAGUGGCCAAGAGGGAUCUUCUGAAGUGAUAGGUAUGCUCUAAAAUUAGGCUGUGGGGAUGCUUGUACAACUCUGUAACUUUACUAAAAUUCAUUACACACUUAAAUAAGUGAGUUUUAUGAUAUGUACAUUAUCCAUCAAAAAAGCUGUGUUAAAAAAAAAAAAAAAAGGGCUGAAUAUUUUAGGCCAGGCAUGGGGGCUCACACCUGUAAUCCCAGCACUUUGGGAGGCCAAGGCAGGCAGAUAAGGAGGUCAGGAGAUCAAGACGAUCCUGGCUAACACGGUGAAACCCCAUCUCUACUAAAAGUACAAAAAAUUAGCUGGGUGUGGUGGUGGUGCCUGUAGUCCCAGCUACUCGGGAGGCUAAGGCAGGAGAAUGGUGUGAACCUGGGAGGCGGAGCUUGCAGUGGUGACCCCAGAUCGCACCACUGCUCUCCAGCCUGGGCGACAGAGUGAGACUCCAUCUCAAAAAAAAAAAAAAAAAAAAAAGAAAAAAAUUAUUCUAAUUUGCCUGUGUGAGUGGAUGUGUUUGGCUAAAUUUUUGAUAAGAGUUUCUUUGCCACUAUGUUCACAACAUGUGUUGGUGAACAGUUUUCUUGGCUCAUCAUGUCUUCUGGAUUUGGUGUCUGGGUAAUACUUUAAUCAUAAAAUGAGUUGAGAAGUGUUCACUACUCCUCUAUUUUCUGUAAGAUCAAUGGGAAAAUUUGUGUAGAAUGUACCAGUCCAAAACUAUGUGAGUCUAGAAUUUUGUUUAUCAAGAGAGAUUAAAUCACAGUGUAAAAUAUUUAAUAGGCUGGGCACAGUGGCUUAUGCCUGUAAUCCAAGCACUUUGGGAGGCCAAGGUGGGCAAAUCACGAGGUCAGGAGAUUGAGACCAUCCUGGCUAACACGGUGAAAUCCCGCCUCUACUAAAAGUACAAAAAAAAAAAAAAAAAAAA
Molecule: long non-coding RNA, 2625 nt
Organism: Macaca mulatta (Rhesus monkey)
Lineage: Eukaryota; Metazoa; Chordata; Mammalia; Primates; Cercopithecidae
Source: Ensembl